UUUACCGUACGUGUAACACAUGUUGUUGCACUAUUACUGAUCACCUGUAGCGACUAAAAAAUCUUUAGAAGAAUUGAGGUUUUAUUUGGAAAAAUAAUCGCAUCUUUAUUUUUUAAGAAAAAAAAGAAAGAAAAAGGGGAAGGAAUCUGACAAGACAAGAAGUGUUUGAUUGAAGAAAAAGGGUGAGAAAAGCUAGCUCAUAUAUCAAAACCGUCUUUUGGAUUUCUCAUGUCUUGUAGUUGUCCACACAACGCGGCUUUCAAUCUCGCUUUCAUUACCUUUGGCACUUUAAUUUGCUA
Molecule: long non-coding RNA, 299 nt
Filed under: Glycine max (soybean)
Lineage: Eukaryota; Viridiplantae; Streptophyta; Magnoliopsida; Fabales; Fabaceae
Description: long non-coding RNA (GMAX_LNC003063)
Source: RNAcentral